This 404-nucleotide ribosomal RNA is filed under the name uncultured bacterium. RNAcentral describes it as "bacterial SSU rRNA". It matches the Rfam family "Bacterial small subunit ribosomal RNA", at positions 30 to 420 of the family's 1533-position model. The record is from RNAcentral.
AGUGAACGCUGGCGGCAGGCCUAACACAUGCAAGUCGAGCGGCAGCGCGUCCGACCACCCUCGGGUGGUCGGAUGGCGGCGAGCGGCGGACGGGUGAGGAAUGCAUCGGAAUCUGCCUCGUUGUGGGGGAUAACGUAGGGAAACUUACGCUAAUACCGCAUACGACCUACGGGUGAAAGUGGGGGACCUUCGGGCCUCACGCGAUGAGAUGAGCCGAUGCCGGAUUAGCUAGUUGGCGGGGUAAAGGCCCACCAAGGCGACGAUCCGUAGCUGGUCUGAGAGGAUGAUCAGCCACACUGGAACUGAGACACGGUCCAGACUCCUACGGGAGGCAGUAGUGGGGAAUAUUGGACAAUGGGGGCAACCCUGAUCCAGCCAUGCCGCGUGUGUGAAGAAGGCCUCGG